Octopus sinensis (East Asian common octopus) is the source of this 3000-nucleotide long non-coding RNA. RefSeq lists it as uncharacterized. The record is from RefSeq and is a predicted model, not a curated record. The transcript has 2 exons. Lineage: Eukaryota; Metazoa; Mollusca; Cephalopoda; Octopoda; Octopodidae.
UUAUGUGCUUCCUCCGGUAUAUAUAUAUACAUACACACAUACAAAAUUUGGGGGUUUAAUUCACAGGUGAUCUAAAUGAUAUGUGUGUGUGUGUGUGUAUGUGUAAAUACAAACAUAUCAAACCACAUGUACGCAUAUGCACGCACUUGCACACACAUACACACACACACACUCAUACACACUAGCAUGGAAAAAACAGAUGUAAUGCAAAUAAACAAGCGUAUACAUGUAUUCAUCUGUUAUAAACUGGUUGAGAAGCAGAAACAACUGAUGAAGAGACAACUUUUUUGGGGUAUUAUCUUAUUCUUUCCAAUAAUUUAAUAUUGAAUUAUUUAUGCAAAUCAAAGGCAUGUGUAUUAUUAGAGAAACCUGUUGAGUUAUUUAAUGUAAAUCUAUUUAUUCUGGACACACACACACACACAUAUUUUUCUCCAUUUGUCUGUCUGUCUCCGUCCCCGCCUCUCCCUUUUUCUACUACCUCUACCUCUUAACUACCUCCUACCUUCUCUAUUUUAUUGUUGAGUGCAUCAUAAUUUAUAUAUCUCAUUCACAUUUACUUCAUUUGACAUAAAGAAUUAACAUAAAAAUCUCAGCCGCUAUUUCUGACUGUUAUAACUAAAUGUGGAGACGAAUUAAUUAAAUGGGUCAAAUUUCAAUUAGUAUGUUAUUAGUUAUCCCCAGCAACAUUUAGUUACUUAAAAAAACAAAAAAAAAAAGGAAAAAAAGAAAGGAGGAUUAACACUGACUGUCUUAUUAAAUUUAAUGUUAAUUUCCGUAAAGAUGUUGAUUAUCCAUCCAAAAAUAGGAUUGACAUUUUCUGCUUCUCCAACACUUUUUUGGCAUCUCUUGUAGCUAUGGUUUACAUAUCCACCACUAAAAUUAAUUCUUGCUCUGUGAACAGAUAUUUGAUGGAGGAAUAUUACCUUGGCUGAAAGCAUGUAAGGGCUAGUGACAGGAAAACCAUCUGACCAUAGAAAACCUACAUUAACAAAAUUCCAUCCAACAUUAGCAACCAUGGAAAAUUUGUCAUUCAUUUCCAAUAUUCUGCAGAAACAUGUCUGCCCAAGGGGAUAUAUUACCCUGCUUAGAAACAGGUAAGGUUUGGUGACAAGACGGGCAUCCAACCAGAGAAAAAGGGAAAGUCUGCCCUAACAAACUCAAUCCAACCCAUGCAAACUUAGAUAAGUGGAUAAUAAUAAUGAACAAUUAAUUACACUUUUCAUUCAACAUAAAUUCAGUGAAUAUGUUCAUUUAAAAUAGUUUCUUUGUUUUCUGCAUUAUUAUAAUUAGAUUGUACUCAUUAUAACUGAAAUUAUUAUAAUUAUUAUAAUAAUGCAGAAGAAAGUAAAUGCUGGGUUAUGGAUUGGCAAAAUCAUAAGAGAAUCUGACAAAAUACCUUGCAGUAAUUCUUUCUGGCUCUCUACACUCUGAGUUCAAAUCCUACCAAAGUCAACUUAGCCUUUUGUUUCUCUGGGGUAGUACCAGUCAAGAAAUGGGGCUGAUGGUAUUGAAUAACACCUUCUCCUUGGGAUUACCACCAUUGUGCCUAAAUUAGAAACAGUUACUAUAACUAGAUUUAACCGUUUUGAUACCAACUCACUGAGACCGUUCUAAAUUAAAACUUUCCUUCAAAUUUUGGCACAAGACCAGUAAUUUUAAAGGAGUGGGUAAGUUGAUUACAUUGACCCUGCAGUGUGCAAUUGGUACUUAUUUUAUUGACCCUGAAAAGACAAAAGGCAAAGUCAACCUCAGAAGAAUUUGAACUCAGGAUGCAAAAAGCUAAAGGAAAUGCCUUUUGUCUGACACAGUAACAAUUCUACCAACUUACCAUCUUAAGCACCAUUUAAGUCACUUUUUAUUAAAUUCUUCAUUAAUAUAUAAUUGCCAACCAAGUGUGGUGUCCUAUACAGGACAGUGCUACUGAUGUUUAUAGCCCCAGGAAGUCAUCUCUUCCAGAUGGCUAACAACACACAUUCUGUGUCCGAUUAGUAUUUGCAGACACACUAAUCGGACACAGAAUGCAUAUCGUUAGCCAGAUGGAAGAGCUGACUUCCUAGGGCUAUAAACGUCAGUAGCACUGUCCUGUAUAGGACACCACACUUGGUUGGCAAUCACAUGUUAUGAUUCUGUACUGCUACUGUUUAUAUUUCGCUCAGGAAUUUAUUAUAACAUAUUUCUCUAAAUUCUUCAUUAUUUUCAAAAUAAAUUAAAACAAACAUAACUGUGGCAUAUGGUUAUUGCAGUACUUAGGGUGCUGCCACACCCAAUGCCACCAAAUUUCAAGCAGGGGUAUAACAAAAGUUUUCCAUUCAAAUUUGUGAUUAAUUCAAUGAGUAAGGUUAAUGAUUAUAAUGAGUUUGCCAUUUUCGAUGGGUGUGCAGUGCACACCUAGCAUACCGGAAUAUACACCCCUGAAACAUAAUGUAUGUUAAUGGAAAUAAGGUAAAAAGCAGGUCGAUCAUAUAAGCCCUGUAUUUAUUAAUCUUCAUAAUUUUUUUUUUUAAUUUCUCUGUAGUUUUUAUGUUUACAGUGUUUUAGUGUUCUGAACAUUAUAACAGCUGCUUUGAAACUCACCAGCAAAGAGGACAACUAUAUUACCAUUCUGAACAUUACUAUAUAACAGAAGCUGGAUAAAUACCAUUUUUUUUCUUUUUUUUUGUCUUGUUCGAACUGUUCUUUAAAAAAAGAAAAAGAAAAGGAAUCAAACAACACUGAACCAACUCAAAUAUUGUAUUGCAUUGUUUUUCUUUAUUUUGUUUAUUUUCUGCUUUUUUUUUCUUCUUGAAUCGCUUCUCUACACAACUCAAUUGAAUUUAUUGCCAAGAUUCCACAGCUCUCAGAUAUGAAGAACUCUAUAUAACAGAGCUCAAUGGAAUGUAUUACCAAUAUUCCAAGAAUCUUAGAUAUGAAGUAUCUGUCCAUUCAAAAAAAAAAACAAAAAAAAAAACAGGAAAUCCAAAAUAUUUCAAAGAACAAUAUUAAAGAAAAAAACCAACAAAA